This 870-nucleotide long non-coding RNA is filed under the name Homo sapiens (human). RNAcentral describes it as "SRI antisense RNA 1". Lineage: Eukaryota; Metazoa; Chordata; Mammalia; Primates; Hominidae. The record is from RNAcentral.
CCGUACACCAGGGUGUGGGCUGUACACAAGAUCAGGGUCAAAUAACCCAGUUUGGACUAUAAACAAGAAACAAAAAUAUGAGCAGAAGAAAAUAUAUAAGAAGAGAUUUACCUGGGUAACGGUUAAGUUUCCCAAUCUCCAUCGUACAUAAUAUCGAAUAGGAAUCACAAGUGUGUAGAGGACAUGAAGGAAGGCAAAUCCCAGAGCUACCAAGCCAAGCUGCUUUCGGCAAAGCAUCCAGUGGUCAAGCCAGUCUGGGAAUCGACGGUAUUUUGUGCCUCGGUACAGUUGUAGAAUGGCAGCAAUAACACCAGGGAGGUAAACCAAAGCAAGCAGUUGCUCCUGACUGGAGAGCCCAGGCUGAGAUGGUGUUAAAUGCUUUUACCACGUGGGCUCCUGGCACCAAAUGAGCAAGAUCUCACCCCACAGGCCUUGGAAACCUGAGGCAGUAUUCUUCUGGGAUGUUUCCAACUAGGCUUCCCAUGAGGAUGUUAGAGCCAGCCUGGCUGGUGAAUUUUACUUCUCUCACCUCUCAGAGGGACAUGGAUGAAAUUGGAAAUCAUCAUUCUCAGUAAACUAUCGCAAGAACAAAAAACCAAACACCGCAUAUUCUCACUCAUAGGUGGGAACUGAACAAUGAGAACACGUGGACUCAGGAAGGGGAACAUCACACUCUGGGGACUGUUGUGGGAUGGGGGGAGUGGGGAGGGAUAGCAUUGGGAGAUAUACCUAAUGCUAGAUGACGAGUUAGUGGGUGCAGCGCACCAGCAUGGCACAUGUAUACAUAUGUAACUAACCUGCACAUUGUGCACAUGUACCCUAAAACUUAAAGUAUAAUAAUAAAAAAAAAUCUGUGAAGAACAGAGACAG